Molecule: ribosomal RNA, 166 nt
Filed under: uncultured eukaryote
Lineage: Eukaryota
Description: partial small subunit ribosomal RNA
Source: RNAcentral
UUUUUGCAGAACUCAAUGACUUCCUGGUAGAUGCCGGCGUAACAACGAUCAGGGAUCGUAUAGCUUGUGUCCUGCAGCUGGCCGUCCGGGCCCCACAUCUUGCCCGAGGUGCGAAUGGCUGCCGGCAUGGACGCAUCGAUAAUGACGUUACUCGGCACAUGCAGGU